UUAAGUUAUUAAGGGCGCACGGUGGAUGCCUUGGCACUAGAAGCCGAUGAAGGACGUUACUAACGACGAUAUGCUUUGGGGAGCUGUAAGUAAGCUUUGAUCCAGAGAUUUCCGAAUGGGGAAACCCAGCAUGAGUUAUGUCAUGUUAUCGAUAUGUGAAUACAUAGCAUAUCAGAAGGCACACCCGGAGAACUGAAACAUCUUAGUACCCGGAGGAAGAGAAAGAAAAUUCGAUUCCCUUAGUAGCGGCGAGCGAAACGGGAAGAGCCCAAACCAACAAGCUUGCUUGUUGGGGUUGUAGGACACUCUGUACGGAGUUACAAAGGACGACAUUAGACGAAUCAUCUGGAAAGAUGAAUCAAAGAAGGUAAUAAUCCUGUAGUCGAAAAUGUUGUCUCUCUUGAGUGGAUCCUGAGUACGACGGAGCACGUGAAAUUCCGUCGGAAUCUGGGAGGACCAUCUCCUAAGGCUAAAUACUCUCUAGUGACCGAUAGUGAACCAGUACCGUGAGGGAAAGGUGAAAAGCACCCCGGAAGGGGAGUGAAAUAGAACCUGAAACCGUGUGCUUACAAGUAGUCAGAGCCCGUUAAUGGGUGAUGGCGUGCCUUUUGUAGAAUGAACCGGCGAGUUACGAUUUGAUGCAAGGUUAAGCAGUAAAUGUGGAGCCGUAGCGAAAGCGAGUCUGAAUAGGGCGUUUAGUAUUUGGUCGUAGACCCGAAACCAGGUGAUCUACCCUUGGUCAGGUUGAAGUUCAGGUAACACUGAAUGGAGGACCGAACCGACUUACGUUGAAAAGUGAGCGGAUGAACUGAGGGUAGCGGAGAAAUUCCAAUCGAACCUGGAGAUAGCUGGUUCUCUCCGAAAUAGCUUUAGGGCUAGCCUCAAGUGAUGAUUAUUGGAGGUAGAGCACUGUUUGGACGAGGGGCCCCUCUCGGGUUACCGAAUUCAGACAAACUCCGAAUGCCAAUUAAUUUAACUUGGGAGUCAGAACAUGGGUGAUAAGGUCCGUGUUCGAAAGGGAAACAGCCCAGACCACCAGCUAAGGUCCCAAAAUAUAUGUUAAGUGGAAAAGGAUGUGGCGUUGCCCAGACAACUAGGAUGUUGGCUUAGAAGCAGCCAUCAUUUAAAGAGUGCGUAAUAGCUCACUAGUCGAGUGACACUGCGCCGAAAAUGUACCGGGGCUAAACAUAUUACCGAAGCUGUGGAUUGUCCUUUGGACAAUGGUAGGAGAGCGUUCUAAGGGCGUUGAAGCAUGAUCGUAAGGACAUGUGGAGCGCUUAGAAGUGAGAAUGCCGGUGUGAGUAGCGAAAGACGGGUGAGAAUCCCGUCCACCGAUUGACUAAGGUUUCCAGAGGAAGGCUCGUCCGCUCUGGGUUAGUCGGGUCCUAAGCUGAGGCCGACAGGCGUAGGCGAUGGAUAACAGGUUGAUAUUCCUGUACCACCUAUAAUCGUUUUAAUCGAUGGGGGGACGCAGUAGGAUAGGCGAAGCGUGCGAUUGGAUUGCACGUCUAAGCAGUAAGGCUGAGUAUUAGGCAAAUCCGGUACUCGUUAAGGCUGAGCUGUGAUGGGGAGAAGACAUUGUGUCUUCGAGUCGUUGAUUUCACACUGCCGAGAAAAGCCUCUAGAUAGAAAAUAGGUGCCCGUACCGCAAACCGACACAGGUAGUCAAGAUGAGAAUUCUAAGGUGAGCGAGCGAACUCUCGUUAAGGAACUCGGCAAAAUGACCCCGUAACUUCGGGAGAAGGGGUGCUCUUUAGGGUUAACGCCCAGAAGAGCCGCAGUGAAUAGGCCCAAGCGACUGUUUAUCAAAAACACAGGUCUCUGCUAAACCGUAAGGUGAUGUAUAGGGGCUGACGCCUGCCCGGUGCUGGAAGGUUAAGAGGAGUGGUUAGCUUCUGCGAAGCUACGAAUCGAAGCCCCAGUAAACGGCGGCCGUAACUAUAACGGUCCUAAGGUAGCGAAAUUCCUUGUCGGGUAAGUUCCGACCCGCACGAAAGGCGUAACGAUUUGGGCACUGUCUCAACGAGAGACUCGGUGAAAUCAUAGUACCUGUGAAGAUGCAGGUUACCCGCGACAGGACGGAAAGACCCCGUGGAGCUUUACUGUAGCCUGAUAUUGAAAUUCGGCACAGCUUGUACAGGAUAGGUAGGAGCCUUUGAAACGUGAGCGCUAGCUUACGUGGAGGCGCUGGUGGGAUACUACCCUAGCUGUGUUGGCUUUCUAACCCGCACCACUUAUCGUGGUGGGAGACAGUGUCAGGCGGGCAGUUUGACUGGGGCGGUCGCCUCCUAAAAGGUAACGGAGGCGCUCAAAGGUUCCCUCAGAAUGGUUGGAAAUCAUUCAUAGAGUGUAAAGGCAUAAGGGAGCUUGACUGCGAGACCUACAAGUCGAGCAGGGUCGAAAGACGGACUUAGUGAUCCGGUGGUUCCGCAUGGAAGGGCCAUCGCUCAACGGAUAAAAGCUACCCCGGGGAUAACAGGCUUAUCUCCCCCAAGAGUUCACAUCGACGGGGAGGUUUGGCACCUCGAUGUCGGCUCAUCGCAUCCUGGGGCUGUAGUCGGUCCCAAGGGUUGGGCUGUUCGCCCAUUAAAGCGGUACGCGAGCUGGGUUCAGAACGUCGUGAGACAGUUCGGUCCCUAUCCGUCGUGGGCGUAGGAAAUUUGAGAGGAGCUGUCCUUAGUACGAGAGGACCGGGAUGGACAUACCUCUGGUGUACCAGUUGUCGUGCCAACGGCAUAGCUGGGUAGCUAUGUGUGGACGGGAUAAGUGCUGAAAGCAUCUAAGCAUGAAGCCCCCCUCAAGAUGAGAUUUACCAACUUCGGUUAUAAGAUCCCUCAAAGAUGAUGAGGUUAAUAGGUUCGAGGUGGAAGCAUGGUGACAUGUGGAGCUGACGAAUACUAAUCGAUCGAAGACUUAAUCAA
Molecule: ribosomal RNA, 2921 nt
Filed under: Staphylococcus aureus M0701
Lineage: Bacteria; Bacillati; Bacillota; Bacilli; Caryophanales; Staphylococcaceae
Description: bacterial LSU rRNA
Rfam family: Bacterial large subunit ribosomal RNA
Source: RNAcentral